GGUGUUCUUGCUGUUCGCAGAUGUGGUCACCCUCCUGGGCUUUCUCUAUGCCUCCAGUGGAGAAAACACAGGCAUUGUGAAGAAGUUCCCAAGGUUUCACAACCGAGAGCUGGAGGCCACCCGACGCCAACGGAUAGAUUACCCAGUGUUUACUGUUUCAUUGUGGCUUUAUUUACUCCAUUAUUGCAAGGCCAAUCUCUGUGGGAUUCUGUACUUUGUUGAUUCUAAUGAGAUGUACGGCACACCGUCUGUAUUUCUCACUGAAGAGGGCCACUUGCAUAUCCAAAUGCAUCUCGUCAAAGGAGAAGACCUUGCUGUGAAAACGAAAUUCACCAUGCCUCUGAAGGAGUGGUUUCGACUGGAUAUCUCUUUUAACGGAGGCCAGAUCGUAGUCACCACCAGCAUUGGACAGGAUUUGAAAAGCUACCAUAAUCAGACCAUUAGGUAAGUGCGAUAUUUUCUGUUUAUUCAACAUGAUGUUGGAUAAGGAUUAAGAAAUCGUCAUACGUUAGCCCUCAACCCUAAUGUUCUUCCCACACCCCCUUAUUCAGCUUUUGAGCAUGGACUGUGUCUGGUCUGCCCUAAAGCCCAGUCUUCGCAAUUUUUUUGUUUUCCAUCCGCAAACUCCCCUCUCUUCCCC
This is a non-coding RNA of Leptonychotes weddellii (Weddell seal), 640 nucleotides long. The record is from RefSeq and is a predicted model, not a curated record. Lineage: Eukaryota; Metazoa; Chordata; Mammalia; Carnivora; Phocidae.